GAUGAACGCUGGCGGCGUGCCUAAUACAUGCAAGUCGAGCGGACGGACGAGGCGCUUGCUUCUCUGAUGUUAGCGGCGGGCGGGUGAGUAACACGUGUAUACCCUACCUAUCAGACUGGGAUAUCCACGGGAAACCGGAGCUUAUACCAGAGAAUAUUCUGCACCGCAGGGUUCAAUAGUGAAAGACGGUCGUGCUGGCACUUAUAGAUGCAUCCGCGCUUCAUUAGCUAGUUGGUAAGUUAACAGCUUUCGAAGGCGACGAUGCCUAGCCGACCGGGGGGGCGGAUCGGCCACAUUGGAGCGUAGACACGCACAAGGGUCCUACGGGACGCACCAGUAUGGAAUGGUCGGCAGUGGGCGGAAGCAUGACGGAGUGAGGCCGCGUGAGUGAUGACGGUCUUCGGAGCGUAAAGCUCUGUUACGAGGGGUGAACAUAUGUGUAAUGAACUGUGGACAUCUUGACGGUACCUAAUCAGAAAGCCACGGCUAACUACGUG
Molecule: ribosomal RNA, 497 nt
Filed under: uncultured bacterium
Lineage: Bacteria
Description: partial 16S ribosomal RNA
Rfam family: Bacterial small subunit ribosomal RNA
Source: RNAcentral